Phrynosoma platyrhinos (Desert horned lizard) is the source of this 73-nucleotide non-coding RNA. The record is from the annotation of a GenBank genome assembly. Lineage: Eukaryota; Metazoa; Chordata; Lepidosauria; Squamata; Phrynosomatidae.
GUUACUGUAGUGUAGUGGUUUAAUGCUGGACUACAACUCUGGAGACCAGGGUUUGAUUCCCAGCUUGGUCAUA